AGGAUUAACGCUGGCGGCGUGCCUAACACAUGCAAGUCGAACGGACCUUUAUUUUUGAGACGCCCCAUUUCCUUGGAGCGCCCCAUAAAUAAUGGUUAGUGGCGAACGGGUGAGUAACACGUUGGUACCUGCCCUCUAGUGGGGGAUAACUGCCCGAAAGGGUAGCUAAUACCGCAUGUGAUCUACGGAUCAAAGCAGCAAUGCGCUAGAGGAGGGGCCUGCGGCUGAUUAGCUUGUUGGUAGGGUAAUGGCCUACCAAGGCGACGAUCAGUAGCUGGAUCGAGAGGUUGACCAGCCACACUGGGACUGAGAUACGGCCCAGACUCCUACGGGAGGCAGCAGUGAGGAAUUUUCCACAAUGGACGAAAGUCUGAUGGAGCAACGCCGCGUGCAGGAAGACGGCCUUAGGGUUGUAAACUGUCUUUUAUUUGGGAAGAUUAUGACGGUACCAAAUGAAUAAGGAUCGGCUAACUACGUGCCAGCAGCCGC
Molecule: ribosomal RNA, 489 nt
Filed under: uncultured bacterium
Lineage: Bacteria
Description: SSU rRNA
Rfam family: Bacterial small subunit ribosomal RNA
Source: RNAcentral